GCCUACGGGGGGCAGCAGUAGGGAAUCUUCCACAAUGGGCGAAAGCCUGAUGGAGCAACGCCGCGUGGGUGAAGAAGGUCUUCGGAUCGUAAGACCCUGUUGUUAGAGAAGAAAGUGCGUGAGAGCAACUGUUCACGUUUCGACGGUAUCUAACCAGAAAGCCACGGCUAACUACGUGCCAGCAGCCGCGGUAAUACGUAGGUGGCAAGCGUUAUCCGGAUUUAUUGGGCGUAAAGGGAACGCAGGCGGUCUUUUAAGUCUGAUGUGAAAGCCUUCGGCUUAACCGGAGGAGUGCAUUGGAAACG
RNAcentral lists this ribosomal RNA (305 nucleotides) under uncultured bacterium. Its description in RNAcentral is "bacterial SSU rRNA". It matches the Rfam family "Bacterial small subunit ribosomal RNA", at positions 337 to 634 of the family's 1533-position model. The record is from RNAcentral.